ACAACCCUCCUGAUCCCAUUCUUUGUGUCUCUUUCUCAUUCCCACUCCAAAACUCAGGUUUCUCCCUUCAGUCAAGGCUAGUCCUUGAUAGGUGUCACCGGAACUGGCUCAGGAUCAGCAUAAGGCACAGCAGAUGAGGCACUCCACCUGGGUAGAGAUGUCUCAGCAUUUGGAAUGGGUAAACAAGCUGAAGAUUUCCACACCCCAGUCCUAGUCACCUGCUGCCCUGAAGUUAAAUCUCACAGGAUGGGGGUGCCAUGAUAAGGUGGCAUGGGAGGUAGGAUCACUCCCUAAGCUCAGAAACUGUUGUACUACACUGAAGGAAAUGACCUGGCUGAUCUGAGGAACUUUAACUUCAGAAGCUGGUGUUAUUGGCUGAGGAUAAUGCAAGUUCAGGAUCACCGUGCUACCAUACCAUUAUAGCAUACUAUUAACUCUACCUUGAAGAAGACCUCCCUUGUGUUUAAAUCAUCAAGUUGAAUUUUUAAGUAUCUAUCAAAUAUCAGUACUAGGGUCAGUGUGUGAAUGAUUUUUUUUUUUUUAGAUUGUGUUUUAUUUAGUUCAAACCACUUAGGAUGUAGAGUGGAACUAUUAUAAUUUUAAGCAGCACUGAACAAAUUAUACCAUUAGUCUGUUAAAUACAUCAUCAUGAAUUCUUUGGAAAGUGUUGAUUUAUGAAAAGGGAGCAUUCUAUUUUGUAUAAUAUUCUUCUUCAGAUAUAUUUAUUUGCUCCUUAUUUCUGACAGUUGGCUAACUAGAUAAAGAAACCUCCUUUACAUUUAUACCAUAUAUACACACACACACAUAUAUAUAUAUAUAUAUAUAUCUCAGAUAUAUACCAGUGUUAUAGUAUUUACUUUACCAAUAAACAAUAUUUUCAUAUUUUUUUCUUUACUUUCAAUGCAGCUGUGAAAGCAUAAAAAAUAAAAUAGUGGCCACUGGUAUUAUUCAGGUUUAAAAAUAUAUCCCAAGCAGAUCUUUACAUCUUUGUUCUAUAAUGUCAGUAAGUUUGUGGAUAUUUUCUACAAUUGUACUAUGAG
RNAcentral lists this long non-coding RNA (1040 nucleotides) under Mustela putorius furo (domestic ferret). RNAcentral describes it as "lncRNA (ENSMPUG00000025313.1)". Lineage: Eukaryota; Metazoa; Chordata; Mammalia; Carnivora; Mustelidae. The record is from RNAcentral.